Molecule: ribosomal RNA, 99 nt
Filed under: Periophthalmus magnuspinnatus
Lineage: Eukaryota; Metazoa; Chordata; Actinopteri; Gobiiformes; Gobiidae
Source: RNAcentral
UGUGGCCAAUGCCCGAUCUCGUCUGAGCUCACAAGCUAAGCAGGUCUGGGCUCGGUUAGUAUUUGGAUAGGGGGCCGUUGGGAAUACCAGGUGCCACCU